RNAcentral lists this transfer RNA (77 nucleotides) under Bacteroides uniformis. Its description in RNAcentral is "tRNA-Met". It matches the Rfam family "tRNA". From Rfam's summary of the family: Transfer RNA (tRNA) molecules are approximately 80 nucleotides in length. Their secondary structure includes four short double-helical elements and three loops (D, anti-codon, and T loops). Further hydrogen bonds mediate the characteristic L-shaped molecular structure. tRNAs have two regions of fundamental functional importance: the anti-codon, which is responsible for specific mRNA codon recognition, and the 3' end, to which the tRNAs corresponding amino acid is attached (by aminoacyl-tRNA synthetases). tRNAs cope with the degeneracy of the genetic code in two manners: having more than one tRNA (with a specific anti-codon) for a particular amino acid; and 'wobble' base-pairing, i.e. permitting non-standard base-pairing at the 3rd anti-codon position. The record is from RNAcentral. Lineage: Bacteria; Pseudomonadati; Bacteroidota; Bacteroidia; Bacteroidales; Bacteroidaceae. RNAcentral also lists the same sequence under 5 other names.
AUCGGGGUGCCUGGAGAUGGUUCCAGUCCGGCCUCAUAAGCCGGUUGACGCGGGUUCGAGUCCCGCCCCCGAAACCA